Molecule: ribosomal RNA, 543 nt
Filed under: uncultured Escherichia sp.
Lineage: Bacteria; Pseudomonadati; Pseudomonadota; Gammaproteobacteria; Enterobacterales; Enterobacteriaceae
Description: bacterial SSU rRNA
Rfam family: Bacterial small subunit ribosomal RNA
Source: RNAcentral
AUUGAACGCUGGCGGCAGGCCUAACACAUGCAAGUCGAACGGUAACAGGAAACAGCUUGCUGUUUCGCUGACGAGUGGCGGACGGGUGAGUAAUGUCUGGGAAACUGCCUGAUGGAGGGGGAUAACUACUGGAAACGGUAGCUAAUACCGCAUAACGUCGCAAGACCAAAGAGGGGGACCUUCGGGCCUCUUGCCAUCGGAUGUGCCCAGAUGGGAUUAGCUUGUUGGUGGGGUAACGGCUCACCAAGGCGACGAUCCCUAGCUGGUCUGAGAGGAUGACCAGCCACACUGGAACUGAGACACGGUCCAGACUCCUACGGGAGGCAGCAGUGGGGAAUAUUGCACAAUGGGCGCAAGCCUGAUGCAGCCAUGCCGCGUGUAUGAAGAAGGCCUUCGGGUUGUAAAGUACUUUCAGCGGGGAGGAAGGGAGUAAAGUUAAUACCUUUGCUCAUUGACGUUACCCGCAGAAGAAGCACCGGCUAACUCCGUGCCAGUAGCCGCGGUAAUACGGAGGGUGCAAGCGUUAAUCGGAAUUACUGGGCG